GGUUAAGCGACUAAGCGUACACGGUGGAUGCCCUGGCAGUCAGAGGCGAUGAAGGACGUGCUAAUCUGCGAUAAGCGUCGGUAAGGUGAUAUGAACCGUUAUAACCGGCGAUUUCCGAAUGGGGAAACCCAGUGUGUUUCGACACACUAUCAUUAACUGAAUCCAUAGGUUAAUGAGGCGAACCGGGGGAACUGAAACAUCUAAGUACCCCGAGGAAAAGAAAUCAACCGAGAUUCCCCCAGUAGCGGCGAGCGAACGGGGAGCAGCCCAGAGCCUGAAUCAGUGUGUGUGUUAGUGGAAGCGUCUGGAAAGGCGCGCGAUACAGGGUGACAGCCCCGUACACAAAAAUGCACAUGCUGUGAGCUCGAUGAGUAGGGCGGGACACGUGGUAUCCUGUCUGAAUAUGGGGGGACCAUCCUCCAAGGCUAAAUACUCCUGACUGACCGAUAGUGAACCAGUACCGUGAGGGAAAGGCGAAAAGAACCCCGGCGAGGGGAGUGAAAAAGAACCUGAAACCGUGUACGUACAAGCAGUGGGAGCACGCUUAGGCGUGUGACUGCGUACCUUUUGUAUAAUGGGUCAGCGACUUAUAUUCUGUAGCAAGGUUAACCGAAUAGGGGAGCCGAAGGGAAACCGAGUCUUAACUGGGCGUUAAGUUGCAGGGUAUAGACCCGAAACCCGGUGAUCUAGCCAUGGGCAGGUUGAAGGUUGGGUAACACUAACUGGAGGACCGAACCGACUAAUGUUGAAAAAUUAGCGGAUGACUUGUGGCUGGGGGUGAAAGGCCAAUCAAACCGGGAGAUAGCUGGUUCUCCCCGAAAGCUAUUUAGGUAGCGCCUCGUGAAUUCAUCUCCGGGGGUAGAGCACUGUUUCGGCAAGGGGGUCAUCCCGACUUACCAACCCGAUGCAAACUGCGAAUACCGGAGAAUGUUAUCACGGGAGACACACGGCGGGUGCUAACGUCCGUCGUGAAGAGGGAAACAACCCAGACCGCCAGCUAAGGUCCCAAAGUCAUGGUUAAGUGGGAAACGAUGUGGGAAGGCCCAGACAGCCAGGAUGUUGGCUUAGAAGCAGCCAUCAUUUAAAGAAAGCGUAAUAGCUCACUGGUCGAGUCGGCCUGCGCGGAAGAUGUAACGGGGCUAAACCAUGCACCGAAGCUGCGGCAGCGACGCUUAUGCGUUGUUGGGUAGGGGAGCGUUCUGUAAGCCUGUGAAGGUGUGCUGUGAGGCAUGCUGGAGGUAUCAGAAGUGCGAAUGCUGACAUAAGUAACGAUAAAGCGGGUGAAAAGCCCGCUCGCCGGAAGACCAAGGGUUCCUGUCCAACGUUAAUCGGGGCAGGGUGAGUCGACCCCUAAGGCGAGGCCGAAAGGCGUAGUCGAUGGGAAACAGGUUAAUAUUCCUGUACUUGGUGUUACUGCGAAGGGGGGACGGAGAAGGCUAUGUUGGCCGGGCGACGGUUGUCCCGGUUUAAGCGUGUAGGCUGGUUUUCCAGGCAAAUCCGGAAAAUCAAGGCUGAGGCGUGAUGACGAGGCACUACGGUGCUGAAGCAACAAAUGCCCUGCUUCCAGGAAAAGCCUCUAAGCAUCAGGUAACAUCAAAUCGUACCCCAAACCGACACAGGUGGUCAGGUAGAGAAUACCAAGGCGCUUGAGAGAACUCGGGUGAAGGAACUAGGCAAAAUGGUGCCGUAACUUCGGGAGAAGGCACGCUGAUAUGUAGGUGAGGUCCCUCGCGGAUGGAGCUGAAAUCAGUCGAAGAUACCAGCUGGCUGCAACUGUUUAUUAAAAACACAGCACUGUGCAAACACGAAAGUGGACGUAUACGGUGUGACGCCUGCCCGGUGCCGGAAGGUUAAUUGAUGGGGUUAGCGCAAGCGAAGCUCUUGAUCGAAGCCCCGGUAAACGGCGGCCGUAACUAUAACGGUCCUAAGGUAGCGAAAUUCCUUGUCGGGUAAGUUCCGACCUGCACGAAUGGCGUAAUGAUGGCCAGGCUGUCUCCACCCGAGACUCAGUGAAAUUGAACUCGCUGUGAAGAUGCAGUGUACCCGCGGCAAGACGGAAAGACCCCGUGAACCUUUACUAUAGCUUGACACUGAACAUUGAGCCUUGAUGUGUAGGAUAGGUGGGAGGCUUUGAAGUGUGGACGCCAGUCUGCAUGGAGCCGACCUUGAAAUACCACCCUUUAAUGUUUGAUGUUCUAACGUUGACCCGUAAUCCGGGUUGCGGACAGUGUCUGGUGGGUAGUUUGACUGGGGCGGUCUCCUCCUAAAGAGUAACGGAGGAGCACGAAGGUUGGCUAAUCCUGGUCGGACAUCAGGAGGUUAGUGCAAUGGCAUAAGCCAGCUUGACUGCGAGCGUGACGGCGCGAGCAGGUGCGAAAGCAGGUCAUAGUGAUCCGGUGGUUCUGAAUGGAAGGGCCAUCGCUCAACGGAUAAAAGGUACUCCGGGGAUAACAGGCUGAUACCGCCCAAGAGUUCAUAUCGACGGCGGUGUUUGGCACCUCGAUGUCGGCUCAUCACAUCCUGGGGCUGAAGUAGGUCCCAAGGGUAUGGCUGUUCGCCAUUUAAAGUGGUACGCGAGCUGGGUUUAGAACGUCGUGAGACAGUUCGGUCCCUAUCUGCCGUGGGCGCUGGAGAACUGAGGGGGGCUGCUCCUAGUACGAGAGGACCGGAGUGGACGCAUCACUGGUGUUCGGGUUGUCAUGCCAAUGGCACUGCCCGGUAGCUAAAUGCGGAAGAGAUAAGUGCUGAAAGCAUCUAAGCACGAAACUUGCCCCGAGAUGAGUUCUCCCUGACUCCUUGAGAGUCCUGAAGGAACGUUGAAGACGACGACGUUGAUAGGCCGGGUGUGUAAGCGCAGCGAUGCGUUGAGCUAACCGGUACUAAUGAACCGUGAGGCUUAACCUU
Molecule: ribosomal RNA, 2904 nt
Filed under: Escherichia coli
Lineage: Bacteria; Pseudomonadati; Pseudomonadota; Gammaproteobacteria; Enterobacterales; Enterobacteriaceae
Description: 23S ribosomal RNA
Rfam family: Bacterial large subunit ribosomal RNA
Source: RNAcentral